UAGGGAAUAUUGGACAAUGGGCGAAAGCCUGAUCCAGCAAUGCCGCGUGAGUGAUGAAGGCCUUAGGGUUGUAAAGCUCUUUUACCCGGGAUGAUAAUGACAGUACCGGGAGAAUAAGCCCGGCUAACUCCGUGCC
This 136-nucleotide ribosomal RNA is filed under the name uncultured bacterium. Its description in RNAcentral is "partial 16S ribosomal RNA". It matches the Rfam family "Bacterial small subunit ribosomal RNA", at positions 355 to 509 of the family's 1533-position model. The record is from RNAcentral.